CCUACGGGUGACAGCAGUGAGGAAUAUUGGUCAAUGGACGAGAGUCUGAACCAGCCAAGUAGCGUGAAGGAUGACUGCCCUAUGGGUUGUAAACUUCUUUUAUAGGGGAAUAAAAUGUUCCACGUGUGGGAUUUUGUAUGUACCAUAUGAAUAAGGAUCGGAUAACUCCGUGCCAGCAGCCGCGGUAAUACGGAGGAUCCGAGCUUUAUCCGGAUUUAUUGGGUUUAAAGGGAGCGUAGGUGGAUUGUUAAGUCAGUUGUGAAAGUUUGCGGCUCAACCGUAAAAUUGCAGUUGAAACUGGCAGUCUUGAGUCCAGUAGAGUUGGUCGGAAUUCGUGGUGUAGCGGUGAAAUGCUUA
This 357-nucleotide ribosomal RNA is filed under the name uncultured bacterium. RNAcentral describes it as "partial 16S ribosomal RNA". It matches the Rfam family "Bacterial small subunit ribosomal RNA", at positions 338 to 692 of the family's 1533-position model. The record is from RNAcentral.